GGGGUUGUAGCUCAGGUGGAUAGAGCGCUCGUUUCCUAAAUGAGAGGCCGUGAGUUCGAGUCUCGCCAGCCCCG
This 74-nucleotide transfer RNA is filed under the name Armatimonadota bacterium. Its description in RNAcentral is "tRNA-Arg". It matches the Rfam family "tRNA". From Rfam's summary of the family: Transfer RNA (tRNA) molecules are approximately 80 nucleotides in length. Their secondary structure includes four short double-helical elements and three loops (D, anti-codon, and T loops). Further hydrogen bonds mediate the characteristic L-shaped molecular structure. tRNAs have two regions of fundamental functional importance: the anti-codon, which is responsible for specific mRNA codon recognition, and the 3' end, to which the tRNAs corresponding amino acid is attached (by aminoacyl-tRNA synthetases). tRNAs cope with the degeneracy of the genetic code in two manners: having more than one tRNA (with a specific anti-codon) for a particular amino acid; and 'wobble' base-pairing, i.e. permitting non-standard base-pairing at the 3rd anti-codon position. Lineage: Bacteria; Bacillati; Armatimonadota. The record is from RNAcentral.